AUGAUUGGAUUGUUUCUGAGAUGUGCUGGAGAGCCGCUUUGGCUAAUUGCUUGCAGACUGCGAUCCAACCAGGCUUGCCAACUGUGGAGGCAGUAUGGAGGGGCUAAGAGUGCUACCACUCCUGUGCAUGAAACACGGGACAAAAGCCGACCACAGCAGAAGGCAGAACCAAGGAGUAGAGAGAAACUGACUCCUAAGAAUCCCCCCACUGUGAGCUCUGAAUUCAGCUGUGCCUUACCUUGCUUCCUGAACUUUCAAGGUUAGGUAAGCCAAUGAAUUGCUUUUUUGUUUAAACCAGUUUAGGCUAGGAUUUUGUUACAUGCCAAUUAAGGUGACUUAAUGAUAUAGAGCCUGGAGAAGGGAAUGGCAACCCACUCCAGUAUUCUUGCCUGGAAAAUUCCAUGGACAGAGGACUCUAGUGGGCUAGAGUCCAUGGGGUUGCAAAGAGUCACAUACAACUGAGCGACGGAGCACACACACCCAGUGAUAUAGAGAUCUGGUAUCAAAAACAAACAAACAAAAUUAAAAAAUAUCUAAGUCUAAAGGAGGCAUUGGGCAUAUGAGGAAAAGUUCUAGGAUCACAGCUGAGAGACUGAGGCCCAGCACAAAAGCUGGUGGAACCUAGAAAUGUCUACAAGUUGACUCACAGACUCAUGGUGCACCUUCAGGUAAAAAUAAUUAAGCAAACAAAUAAAACAUCUGAUUUCUUCUGUGUGGCCACAUAUGUUUGACUGGGGAGUUUUGAGAGAGAGAAACUGGAAAAGUACCAGAAUCCAAGAUGGUGGCUCUGGCAGGAAAGUGGAGCAGAGAUCGGGAGUUCUCUUCAGGAAACUAGCUGAGGAGUCAGCCAUUUUACAAUAUCUGCUCUGCUGGGGGAAAGCAAUGGGGUAGCUUGCUAAAUGUUGAGCAAGGAUGCUUGCAACAACUGCAUUAUUUAGGGCUUCUGUGACUUCAAAUAAGAGGCUUUCCCAAACUUGGGAAGGUGCCUUUAGGGCCAAAAAUAAAGGGGUGUGACUCUGCUAGCACACAAGCAGAAAGAACUCAGACAAAUGAGGAAUUGUAGUUUUAUGAAAUGGGGACUGUACAAAGCAGAUGCAUUAGGAAUUUGGAACCAGGAUAAGACAGUACAUUGUUUGUUCAAUUCCUGGUAGAAAUCCUGCCCCCCAAAUUAUUUUUAAUCAUAUAUGGCAACUUUUUUACCAAAGAAGAGCUUUGAUGAAAUGCUAGGAUAAAAAUCGUGGCAAGUACAGCUCAGAAGAAUUUUGGAACUCAGAAACUUCCCUCCCAAACCACAGUUAGUCCAGUGCCUGUUUCUGGCAGGAAUGGCCAACUCAGGGCUGAUCAGGCAGCAGGGGCAAAAGAUCAAAGUUUUCUUUACAUUAGGAAUUUUACGUUAGGGCUCUAACAUUCUUCUGAUUCAUGAGUUUUGGAGUAUUUGGGAUCAUUUAACUCUGCUUCUACUGAGUAAACAUUAGAAACUAUUUAAAAAGCAAGACAGAAUUAACUCAGUCCAGUACACAUUCAAAUACCAAGGUCUAAGUCCCUUGGGCAAGACAUUUGCCAACGACAGAAAUCUAGCGCUCCAUCUAGGAAGCCAAAGGAAUCAGUCCACACCUUAGCCCCUUCUCAUACCGUAAGACAGCUCAUCUGGGUACCAUGUGCUAAGCUAUGCUUAUAGCAGAAAAACAUUUCCAGUACAUUCAAUCCUUGUUUUAUAUGGCAAAUAGGAGAAGUGGUCUGGCUCUGUGAUAAAAAGCUCAGUACCCAGAAUUAAACAGAUAGUUGAGAAAAAGGCAAUAGAUCAACUCUAGAAUAGUGCCUAAGGCAUGGCAAGGACUUAAAAAAUAUGAGUGAAUGAAUAAAGCACAAACUAAGUGAAUGAAUAAGGCACAAGCUAAUGAAUAAAUGAAUAACUGAACUACUAGACUGGUUGGUUGUGCCGUUUAAAAUGAAACGUGGAAGAGACCCACCUGAAGAAUUUUGGAACUCAGAAACUUCCCUCCCAAACCACAGUUAGUCCAGUGCCUGUUUCUGGCAGGAAUGGCCAACUCAGGGCUGAUCAGGCAGCAGGGGCAAAAGAUCAAAGUUUUCUUUACAUUAGGAAUUUUACGUUAGGGCUCUAACAUUCUUCUGAUUCAUGAGUUUUGGAGUAUUUGGGAUCAUUUAACUCUGCUUCUACUGAGUAAACAUUAGAAACUAUUUAAAAAGCAAGACAGAAUUAACUCAGUCCAGUACACAUUCAAAUACCAAGGUCUAAGUCCCUUGGGCAAGACAUUUGCCAACGACAGAAA
Long non-coding RNA from Bos grunniens (domestic yak), 2291 nucleotides. NCBI's taxonomy places the organism in Eukaryota, Metazoa, Chordata, Mammalia, Artiodactyla, Bovidae. The record is from Ensembl.